GGGGAACCUAUCCAUCAGCGGGGGAUAACACUUGGAAACAGGUGCUAAUACCGCAUAGGGCUUUUUUUCACCUGAAAGAAAGCUGAAAGGCGCUUUUUUGCGUCACUGAUGGCUGGUCCCGCGGUGCAUUAGCCAGUUGGUGAGGUAACGGCUCACCAAAGCAACGAUGCAUAGCCGACCUGAGAGGGUGAUCGGCCACACUGGGACUGAGACACGGCCCAGACUCCUACGGGAGGCAGCAGUAGGGAAUCUUCGGCAAUGGACGCAAGUCUGACCGUGCAACGCCGCGUGAGUGAAGAAGGUUUUCGGAUCGUAAAGCUCUGUUGUCAGCAAAGAACAGGAAGAAGAGGGAAUGCUUUUUCUCUGACGGUAGCUGACCAGAAAGCCACGGCUAACUACGUGC
Molecule: ribosomal RNA, 403 nt
Filed under: uncultured Tetragenococcus sp.
Lineage: Bacteria; Bacillati; Bacillota; Bacilli; Lactobacillales; Enterococcaceae
Description: bacterial SSU rRNA
Rfam family: Bacterial small subunit ribosomal RNA
Source: RNAcentral